RNAcentral lists this ribosomal RNA (433 nucleotides) under uncultured bacterium. Its description in RNAcentral is "bacterial SSU rRNA". It matches the Rfam family "Bacterial small subunit ribosomal RNA", at positions 355 to 805 of the family's 1533-position model. The record is from RNAcentral.
UGGGGAAUCUUGGACAAUGGGCGCAAGCCUGAUCCAGCCAUGCCGCGUGAGUGAUGAAGGCCUUAGGGUUGUAAAGCUCUUUUGGCGGGGACGAUAAUGACGGUACCCGCAGAAUAAGCCCCGGCUAACUUCGUGCCAGCAGCCGCGGUAAUACGAAGGGGGCUAGCGUUGUUCGGAAUUACUGGGCGUAAAGCGCACGUAGGCGGACUUUCAAGUCAGGGGUGAAAUCCCGGGGCUCAACCUCGGAACUGCCUCUGAUACUGUUGGUCUUGAAUCCGGUAGAGGUGGGUGGAAUUCCUAGUGUAGAGGUGAAAUUCGUAGAUAUUAGGAAGAACACCGGUGGCGAAGGCGGCUCACUGGCUCGAUACUGACACUGAGGUGCGAAAGCGUGGGGAGCAAACAGGAUUAGAUACCCCUGUAGUCCCUGANCGGG